UACAUGGGGUGCAAACGUUGCUCGGAAUUAUUGGGCGUAAAGCGCACGUAGGCGGUUCGUUAAGUCGGAUGUGAAAGCCCUCGGCUCAACUGAGGAAGUGCACCCGAAACUGGCGAGCUUGAGUACGAAAGAGGAUCGCGGAAUUCCCGGUGUAGAGGUGAAAUUCGUAGAUAUUCGGAAGAACACCAGUGGCGAAGGCGACUCACUGGCCCGUUACUGACGCUGAGGCGCGAAAGCGUGGGGAGCAAACAGG
Molecule: ribosomal RNA, 253 nt
Filed under: uncultured bacterium
Lineage: Bacteria
Description: partial 16S ribosomal RNA
Rfam family: Bacterial small subunit ribosomal RNA
Source: RNAcentral